CAGCAGCCGCGGUAAAACGUAGGUGGCAAGCGUUGUCCGGAAUUAUUGGGCGUAAAGGGCUCGCAGGCGGCUUCUUAAGUCUGAUGUGAAAGCCCCCGGCUCAACCUGGGGGCUGCGUUUGAUACUUGGUCGCUUGAGUGGGGAAGAGGGUCGUGGAAUUCCCAGUGUAGAGGUGAAAUUCGUAGAUAUUGGGAAGAACACCAGUGGCGAAGGCGGCUCACUGGACCGACACUGACGCUGAGGCGCGAAAGCGUGGGGAGCAAACAGGAUUAGAUACCCGGGUAGUCCCUGUCUCUUAUAC
Molecule: ribosomal RNA, 301 nt
Filed under: uncultured bacterium
Lineage: Bacteria
Description: partial 16S ribosomal RNA
Rfam family: Bacterial small subunit ribosomal RNA
Source: RNAcentral